This is a long non-coding RNA of Prunus dulcis (almond), 1065 nucleotides long. RefSeq lists it as uncharacterized. The record is from RefSeq and is a predicted model, not a curated record. The transcript is spliced from 2 exons. Lineage: Eukaryota; Viridiplantae; Streptophyta; Magnoliopsida; Rosales; Rosaceae.
CUCUCUCUGCUGCUCUGCAUUAUUAAUAUGUUCAUGUUGUUCUCCACCACCCCAUGCCCAUUUCCAAAUUGCCUUCUUUCUCUCCUUUUUUCCCUCUUUUAUUUGUUUUUGCUAACCCAAAUAAACCUUGUUGGGGUUUACUUUGAUAGUUUUGUUUGUGAUAUAUAAUCUAGACUGAUAUGGUUUGGAAGUGACCAUUUGCUCUGUUCCUUCCAAACCAUGUAUUUUAUUUCAUUUCUGCUUGCAGUCUUUUCUUUUUCUCUCUGUAUUUUGUUUUGUUAUGAUAAAAACGAAAAGGGUUUGUUUUGUAGCUUAUUUUGUGAAAAGAUAUUUGCUUUUUGUUCUUUUUUUGCUAUCCAAUUGAACCUUGUUGCUACACUUUGUUAGAUUUAUGGCAUAUAAUCUAAGCUUGAUAUGGUUUGGAAGUGAUCGUUUCUUCUGUUUCCUUCCAAAACCAUAGACUUCAUUUCACUUCUGCUUACAAUAUUUUCUCUUUUCUGUCUGUCUUUUGCUUUGUUUUUGUAAAGAUGAAAAGGGUUUGUUUGUUUUGUAGCAUAGUUUCUGAAAAGAUACAAGGAAGCCAAAGAGGUAAGAGAUGGAUCGGUUUAACGGGAUAUUGGUCCGGUUCAAUAAGAAAGCAGUGCUCUAAGUGCUUGAGCUCUGCUUUUUGAUUGAGCCGUGCCAAUAUCACGUGCCACUGUUCCUUUAUUAUUCUACCUUGCUGCCCCCAUCAUCCAGGAUUUCAAGGAGUUACAAGCUCAAAACAAGAGCGGUGGAGCCAGACUGUCAGAUGAGUCACAAGAAAACUGGGAAGGAGAUGAAUUCAAAACAAUAUGUUCAUCAUAUCAUAUAAUUCAAAUUCUUAAUUUCAUACAGAGGAAACAAGAUUGUACAAGAAUGCCAGAAACAGCUCCCACAAAGAUAUGCAUUUAUUGUGUGCAUUUGAUGCCAUAGAACUGUAACUUACAAGUUGACUCUUCAAGCCUCAAAGAAUUUUGUAUGGGGGGCCCUAUUUUGGCUGCUUCAGUGGCCAAUAUCCUCUAUUAAAAUGGAAGAUGGUCCACA